This 534-nucleotide ribosomal RNA is filed under the name Arthrosphaera brandtii. RNAcentral's name for it is "partial 16S ribosomal RNA". It matches the Rfam family "Bacterial large subunit ribosomal RNA", at positions 1796 to 2617 of the family's 2925-position model. Lineage: Eukaryota; Metazoa; Arthropoda; Diplopoda; Sphaerotheriida; Sphaerotheriidae. The record is from RNAcentral.
UCGCCUGUUUUUCAAAAACAUAGUUUUUUGUUAGGUGUAAAAAAUAAGGCCUGCUCACUGAAAAUUUAAAGAGCUGCGAUAAAUUAAUCGUACAAAGGUAGCAUAAUCAUUUGUUUUUUAAUUGAGGACUAGGAUGAAAGGAAAGACGAGGAAAUAUUUGUCUUUAUAGUAAAUUUUGAAUUUUAUUUUUUUGUUAAAAAGCUAAAGUAAAAUUAUAAGACGAGAAGACCCUAUAAGCUUAAUUUUUAAUUAUUUAUUAAUGAGUUAAGUUGUAGGUUGUUAAAAAUUUUACUGGGGCGGUAGAAAGAAAAUGAAGAUCUCUUUUUUUAUAAAUUAUUAAAGGAUAUAUUUUAAUCCAAUAAGUUUGAGAGAUGAAAAGUUACUAUAGGGAUAACAGCGUAAUUUUUUUAUAGAGUUCUUAUCGAUAAAAGAGUUUGCGACCUCGAUGUUGGAUUAGGAGUUCUAAUCGGUGCAUAAGUUGAUUGAGAUAGUCUGUUCGACUAUUAAAUUCCUACAUGAUCUGAGUUCCAGACC